This 492-nucleotide ribosomal RNA is filed under the name uncultured bacterium. Its description in RNAcentral is "partial 16S ribosomal RNA". It matches the Rfam family "Bacterial small subunit ribosomal RNA", at positions 29 to 507 of the family's 1533-position model. The record is from RNAcentral.
AGUGAACGCUGGCGGUAGGCCUAACACAUGCAAGUCGAACGGCAGCACAGUAAGAGCUUGCUCUUACGGGUGGCGAGUGGCGGACGGGUGAGGAAUACAUCGGAAUCUACUUUUUCGUGGGGGAUAACGUAGGGAAACUUACGCUAAUACCGCAUACGACCUACGGGUGAAAGCAGGGGAUCUUCGGACCUUGCGCGAUUGAAUGAGCCGAUGUCGGAUUAGCUAGUUGGCGGGGUAAAGGCCCACCAAGGCGACGAUCCGUAGCUGGUCUGAGAGGAUGAUCAGCCACACUGGAACUUAGACACGGUCCAGACUCCUACGGGAGGAGGCAGUGGAGAAUAUUGGACAAUGGUCGCAAGCCUGAUCCAGUCAUACCGCGUGGGUGAAGAAGGCCUUCGGGUUGUAAAGCCGUUUUGUUGGGAAAGAAAAGCAGCAGGGUAAUACCCCACUGUUCUGACGGUACCCAAAGGAUAAGCACCGGCUAACUUCGUG